GGUGGGAUCAUAUGUGUGUGUGUGUGUGUGUGUGUGUGUGUGUGUGUGUAUAUAUAGUCAUUCACACACACACACACACACACACACACACAUACAUAUA
RNAcentral lists this microRNA precursor (100 nucleotides) under Podarcis lilfordi (Lilford's wall lizard). The record is from RNAcentral. Lineage: Eukaryota; Metazoa; Chordata; Lepidosauria; Squamata; Lacertidae.